AGCUUGGGAACUACUGCCAUAAAGGCACCAGAUUCUGUCUAAUCUUGGAUGCUAAAUAGGGUUAGAUCUGGUUGGUACUUGAAUGGAAGACCACCAGUGAAUAUCAGAUGCUGUAGAUC
Molecule: ribosomal RNA, 119 nt
Filed under: Anolis carolinensis (green anole)
Lineage: Eukaryota; Metazoa; Chordata; Lepidosauria; Squamata; Anolidae
Source: RNAcentral